RNAcentral lists this ribosomal RNA (258 nucleotides) under uncultured bacterium. RNAcentral describes it as "partial 16S ribosomal RNA". It matches the Rfam family "Bacterial small subunit ribosomal RNA", at positions 524 to 777 of the family's 1533-position model. The record is from RNAcentral.
UACGAGGGGGGCAAGCGUUGUUCGGAAUUAUUGGGCGUAAAGGGUGCGUAGGCGGUUUGGUAAGUCUUAUGUGAAAUCUACAGGCUCAACUUGUAGUCUGCAUGAGAAACUGCCGGGCUUGAGUAUGGGAGAGGUGAGUGGAAUUCCUGGUGUAGCGGUGAAAUGCGCAGAUAAUCAGGAGGAACACCGGUGGCGAAGGCGGGGUCUCUGGGGCCGAUACUGACGCUGAGGAGCGAAAAGCGUGGGGAGCGAACAGGA